UAGAUUAACCGUCAUAUCCCGCCUUCUCUCUCCCCAUCUUCGUUUUCGCUGUACCUCGUCUUUCUCUUUCUUCAUUUCCCCCAUCUCUAUCUCCUCUUCCAUUGCUGAUAAUCGGGGCAUCACACAACAAACUCAAAAUCAAGUCAAUUGAGCCAGGCAAAUGGAAAGUGAAAGGGAUUUCUCUUUCCAGAUUUCAUGAUCCUUAUCACUUGAAAUGUUUCUUUGUUUGUUUGUCUCCCUUUCUUGACCCGGUUGGCCUCAGCAAUCCAAUGUCGUGUGCCCUAUUUCGAAGAAUCAGUCGACGUUGGGACUGAAUCCCUUCCCCGUUGAUCCGUGGAAUCUUCGAGCCUCCGUUGGAUUUUCAAUCCCUAAUUUGGAUUGUGUGAUUGCCCCCAAUUUCUCCCCAAUUUUAGAUUUGAAUACAUUCCUCUCCUUUGUUUUUGAUUGUUUUCUUCGCUGAUCUGUGGUGUUCGAACUGAAUACGAAUGCUAGGAAACCGUAAAGGAGCUGCUGCCUUUGAAGAAAUUGUGGAUUUGUAACUUGUUAUGGAUUCGCCAUUGUUGAUUCUCGUAGCUGCUAUCUUCUUCGGAGUUUUCAGCCUCGUUGUUGAAUCUCAAGGAAAUGUGAAGCCCCCACCGCCGCCAUUCUCUACUCCUCCCCCAUCUCCACCACCGCCAUUUUCCCCUCCUCCCCCAUCUCCGCCGCCUCCUCAAUCCCCUCCCCCGCCGCCAGAAUCUCCUCCACCUCCGCCUUCCCCAUCCCCUUCAAGGUCGCCUCCGCCGCCGCGAAAACGCCUCCAACCGCCCCCUCCGCCGUGGCAGCGCGAGCACCGUCGAGGGCGCCCGAGCCCCCCUCCUCCGCCCAAGACACAGAAGCUCAACACGGGGCAGAAAGUCGGGCUGAUGUUCAUUGGAGUUGCCGCGAUCUUGCAAGUUUGCGUAGUCUCAUUCGUGUUGAUCAGUAGAAGGCAACUAUUGAAAGCUGAAACUGUUGAUUGAAUGAAUCACAAGUCGAAUGUUUUUCUUCAAUAGCACAAUUUUUUUGUUCAUGAUGUGAUUUUUUUUAUUCGUGGACCGGCUGGAUUGAUAUUCUUUAUUUAUGGAGAAUGGGUCUGAGAAUCGAUGGAACUUUGGUGUCUGCAUUUUGUAAAUGGGGGGGUAGAAGAGGAGUUAACUGUGUCUGCUCACAAAACUUAUCAACAUUCGAAGACAAAAAAAAUGAUUAGUUGAAAGUGACAACUGAAAACCACCACGUUUGUAUCAUUCUUUUCUGUUUAUAAGUCUCAUUAGAAAUUUAACUAAUAUGGUGAUUAUUAUCAUCUUGUAGUUUGUGUGAUUUAAGCUUGCAUGAACUUCAGAUAUCCAGUUACCAAUGGUUGUUUCCGAUGAUGACUUCAGAUAAAAGAUGGAAAUUAUAUUAGUUAAUAUGAAAAUUAUACUCCCUAUAUUUCUCCACUUGGGAUACCUGCCUUAAAAGUCACCAACUUUGUCCGAAUUCCGGUUUUUCCCACGACCUUAAAAUUGGCAUAUAAAGUCACCAACUUUGCAUUUAGUCGCCGAUUUCCCAUGAUGGUUUUUUCGGCCAACGAGUGAGCCAACGUGUCGUUUUUAAUUGACGCGGCGGCUGAAAUGGUCAACAAAUAUUGACUGGGAAUAAAAAAAAAUUAAGAAAUGAAAUUUAAAAGAAAAAUUAAAAAUCAAAAUUACCCCCAAUUUUCAACCCCAUUCGCCCCCAAAUUAAAGUAACCUAAUUAACCUAAAUUGACUAGCAAAGUUGAGGCGACGACGACGGCGAAGUUGAGGAGUUUCGUCGGCCUUCCGAUGAUCGCUUUUAUACUGGUGACGCUUCACCAAUUCGCAGCCGGAGAGGGCGGCGCUCCUUCACCAGCACCGGCGCCUUCUAACGACGGCACUGCGAUUGAUCAAGGAAUUGCUUACACCCUGCUGCUUGUGCGUAAAAGUGAAUACCAUUCUCAUUAAAAUUCUAUCUACAAGUAAGCUACAAAUAUGGGGACUCCUGGAAUUUUCUCACUCUAGUAAUUGGCGAAAACGCAUGAAGAAUUGAAUAAACAUCAGUAAACCACCAAAAUCAUCUCCAUAAAACUCUAAAUCGAGGCGACGGCUUUAACAAAAUUCAUCGGAAGGUUCAAUUUUAGGUUUGAUUUAAACCGGAAUUCGUGCAAAGUUGAUAACUUUUAAGGCAGUAUCCCUUUCCACUUCGUAUUUAUUACCUUUCUCUUUUAUUUUGGACACUUUUGCAGAUGCAAGUUGUGACUUUGGUCUCA
This is a long non-coding RNA of Salvia splendens (bonfire salvia), 2284 nucleotides long. RefSeq lists it as uncharacterized. The transcript is spliced from 3 exons. The record is from RefSeq and is a predicted model, not a curated record. Lineage: Eukaryota; Viridiplantae; Streptophyta; Magnoliopsida; Lamiales; Lamiaceae.